This 164-nucleotide ribosomal RNA is filed under the name Cardamine carnosa. Its description in RNAcentral is "5.8S ribosomal RNA". It matches the Rfam family "5.8S ribosomal RNA". From Rfam's summary of the family: 5.8S ribosomal RNA (5.8S rRNA) is a component of the large subunit of the eukaryotic ribosome. It is transcribed by RNA polymerase I as part of the 45S precursor that also contains 18S and 28S rRNA. Lineage: Eukaryota; Viridiplantae; Streptophyta; Magnoliopsida; Brassicales; Brassicaceae. The record is from RNAcentral.
AUAACGACUCUCGGCAACGGAUAUCUUGGCUCUCGCAUCGAUGAAGAACGUAGCGAAAUGCGAUACUUGGUGUGAAUUGCAGAAUCCCGUGAACCAUCGAGUCUUUGAACGCAAGUUGCGCCCCAAGCCUUCUGGCCGAGGGCACGUCUGCCUGGGUGUCACAA